RNAcentral lists this transfer RNA (76 nucleotides) under candidate division WS2 bacterium. RNAcentral describes it as "tRNA-Lys". It matches the Rfam family "tRNA". Rfam says of the family: Transfer RNA (tRNA) molecules are approximately 80 nucleotides in length. Their secondary structure includes four short double-helical elements and three loops (D, anti-codon, and T loops). Further hydrogen bonds mediate the characteristic L-shaped molecular structure. tRNAs have two regions of fundamental functional importance: the anti-codon, which is responsible for specific mRNA codon recognition, and the 3' end, to which the tRNAs corresponding amino acid is attached (by aminoacyl-tRNA synthetases). tRNAs cope with the degeneracy of the genetic code in two manners: having more than one tRNA (with a specific anti-codon) for a particular amino acid; and 'wobble' base-pairing, i.e. permitting non-standard base-pairing at the 3rd anti-codon position. The record is from RNAcentral. RNAcentral also lists the same sequence under 1 other name.
GGGUCGUUAGCUCAACUGGCAGAGCAUCUGACUCUUAAUCAGGAGGUUACAGGUUCGAUUCCUGUACGACCCACCA